GAUGAACGCUGGCGGCGUGCCUAAUACAUGCAAGUCGAGCGAACAGACGAGGAGCUUGCUCCUCUGACGUUAGCGGCGGACGGGUGAGUAACACGUGGAUAACCUACCUAUAAGACUGGGAUAACUUCGGGAAACCGGAGCUAAUACCGGAUAAUAUAUUGAACCGCAUGGUUCAAUAGUGAAAGACGGUUUUGCUGUCACUUAUAGAUGGAUCCGCGCCGCAUUAGCUAGUUGGUAAGGUAACGGCUUACCAAGGCAACGAUGCGUAGCCGACCUGAGAGGGGGAUCGGCCACACUGGAACUGAGACACGGUCCAGACUCCUAAGGGAGGCAGCAGUAGGGAAUCUUCCGCAAUGGGCGAAAGCCUGACGGAGCAACGCCGCGUGAGUGAUGAAGGUCUUCGGAUCGUAAAACUCUGUUAUUAGGGAAGAACAAAUGUGUAAGUAACUAUGCACGUCUUGACGGUACUUAAUCAGAAAGCCACGGCUAACUACGUG
This 497-nucleotide ribosomal RNA is filed under the name uncultured bacterium. RNAcentral's name for it is "partial 16S ribosomal RNA". It matches the Rfam family "Bacterial small subunit ribosomal RNA", at positions 28 to 507 of the family's 1533-position model. The record is from RNAcentral.